UACGGAGGGGGUUAGCGUUGUUCGGAAUUACUGGGCGUAAAGCGCGCGUAGGCGGACUAGAAAGUUGGGGGUGAAAUCCCGGGGCUCAACCUCGGAACUGCCUCCAAAACUGCUAGUCUAGAGUUCGAGAGAGGUGAGUGGAAUUCCGAGUGUAGAGGUGAAAUUCGUAGAUAUUGUGAAGAAUACCAAUGGCGAAGGCAGCCUCCUGGAUCUGUACUGACGCUGAGGGACGAAAGCGUGGGGAGCGAACAGG
RNAcentral lists this ribosomal RNA (253 nucleotides) under uncultured bacterium. RNAcentral describes it as "partial 16S ribosomal RNA". It matches the Rfam family "Bacterial small subunit ribosomal RNA", at positions 524 to 776 of the family's 1533-position model. The record is from RNAcentral.